UCUCUUUGCAAGGGAUGCUGCUAGAUUUAUUAGCAGUGACGAGAUAUAAUGGGAAUCAAGUUUAACAGAGGACACGAGGUUAAGAGAGUCCAGUUAGGAGGUCCUUGUGGUCUCGAUAAGAUGGGAAAGUGGCCUGGGUCAGUGGUGACAGUGGAGAGGUGAGAGGUGAUCAGGUUUAAGAUGCAAGGUGGAGCCUGAGUUGUGGAGAGAUACCAAGAGGACUGAUGGACAAGAUGAAGAGAGAGAGGUAGAACAGUCGAAGAUGUCAAUGUGAGCCACUGUGGGAAUGCCAGUGUCAUUUCCUGAAAUGUGGAGGGCCACGAAGGAGCAGACCGCCAAGUUCUAUAUCUUGGCCAUAUUGAGUGGGUCUUGCCAUUUAUUUAUUUAUUUUGUGGCUCAGGACCCUGAAUCCAGGGCACUUUACCACUUAGUUGCAUUCCCAGCCCCAACCCCCCGUUUUUAAUUUUUAAAAUCUGAGACAGGAACAACAGCUAGGAGUUAACAAUAUUCCAGGCCAGAGGCAGAAUGUCUUCUUGGCGGCCUCAAGUUCAUGGCUUCCUAUAUGAGCAACAUGGGGAAUGGGGAUGAAAAGCCAAUGUUCAGUCCCUGAACAGCCGGGACUGGGGAAUAGAGCUCAGUUGGUAGAGUGCUUGCCUCACAUGCACAAGGUGUUGGGUUAGAAUCCCCAGCACCAUAUACACACACAAAAAUUACUCCACCCCUGAAUAGCCAAUCUGAAUUCAAACCUAUCACUCCCUUUGACUCCUUUCCCAAAACGGAAGAAGAGAAGUGGGAAUCAGCCUGGCGCAGUGGUGCACGCCUCUAAUCCCAGCUACUCCACAAGCUGAGACAGAAGGAUCUCAAAUUCAAGGCCACCUGGACAACUUAGUGAGAACUUAUCUCAAAAUAAAAAGGUUUG
RNAcentral lists this long non-coding RNA (919 nucleotides) under Marmota monax (woodchuck). Lineage: Eukaryota; Metazoa; Chordata; Mammalia; Rodentia; Sciuridae. The record is from RNAcentral.